RNAcentral lists this transfer RNA (74 nucleotides) under Pelecanus crispus (Dalmatian pelican). It matches the Rfam family "tRNA". From Rfam's summary of the family: Transfer RNA (tRNA) molecules are approximately 80 nucleotides in length. Their secondary structure includes four short double-helical elements and three loops (D, anti-codon, and T loops). The record is from Rfam by way of RNAcentral. Lineage: Eukaryota; Metazoa; Chordata; Aves; Pelecaniformes; Pelecanidae.
GCGGGGUUAGCUCAGUUGGUUAGAGCAUGGUGCUAAUAACGCCAAGGUCACAGGUUCAAUCCCUGCUCACUGCA